Molecule: long non-coding RNA, 449 nt
Organism: Daphnia pulex (common water flea)
Lineage: Eukaryota; Metazoa; Arthropoda; Branchiopoda; Diplostraca; Daphniidae
Exons: 3
Source: RefSeq, a predicted model, not a curated record
AUUUGAAUAUUAGUGUCGUCUGCUUUGGCUUUGUUCACCACUUUCGAAAAACGAGACGAAGUUUAGCACGACAAAGAAAAUGGAACCAUGGUAUAGGAGUGAUGGAACGAUCACUUUGUUGAAAACGUACACGUGGGUGUACGAAAAAUAGCAAAACCAAUAAAAUUACCAAAAUACGGUCGCCGUGGGAACUCUGGUGUCGUGGCUCUUUAUGGAAUGGCUUAUUGCACACUCCAUGCUGUUUAGCAGGUUUGAGACCAGAGAGCCAGCCGUCAUAACUCACAACCACAUGAUCUUCAAGUUUUGCUUGUGCUAGUAUUGUCCUCUCAUCAGCAAAAAUCUCAACAGUAUCAUUGCUUGGAUAAACAGCAUCCGGAUUGGAGAAACUACCGAUAUCGGCCGGAUUACGUACUUCCGCAAUUCUUAAAAAACCCUCUGUCCUCGUGUAC